RNAcentral lists this ribosomal RNA (930 nucleotides) under uncultured bacterium. Its description in RNAcentral is "bacterial SSU rRNA". It matches the Rfam family "Bacterial small subunit ribosomal RNA", at positions 570 to 1501 of the family's 1533-position model. The record is from RNAcentral.
AGUAGGCGGUAAUAUGUGUCAGNNGUAAAAGGCUAUGGCUUAACCAUAGUGGGCAUUGAAAACUGUAUUACUUGAGUGCAGGAGAGGUAAGUGGAAUUCCUAGUGUAGCGGUGAAAUGCGUAGAUAUUAGGAGGAACACCAGUGGCGAAGGCGACUUACUGGACUGUAACUGACGCUGAGUCACGAAAGCGUGGGUAGCAAACAGGAUUAGAUACCCUGGUAGUCCACGCUGUAAACGAUGAGUGCUAGGUGUUGGGUAGCGAUAUUCAGUGCCGAAGUAAACACAAUAAGCACUCCGCCUGGGGAGUACGGUCGCAAGACUGAAACUCAAAGGAAUUGACGGGGACCCGCACAAGCAGCGGAGCAUGUGGUUUAAUUCGAAGCAACGCGAAGAACCUUACCAAGGUUUGACAUCCCCUUGACAGAUGCAGAGAUGUGUCCUCCCCUUCGGGGGCAAGGGAGACAGGUGGUGCAUGGUUGUCGUCAGCUCGUGUCGUGAGAUGUUGGGUUAAGUCCCGCAACGAGCGCAACCCUUAUCCUUAGUUGCCAGCAGGUCAAGCUGGGCACUCUAAGGAGACUGCCGAUGAUAAAUCGGAGGAAGGUGGGGAUGACGUCAAAUCAUCAUGCCCCUUAUAUCUUGGGCUACACACGUGCUACAAUGGUCGGUACAAAGGGCAGCGAAGGAGUGAUCUGGAGCAAAUCCCAAUAAACCGAUCCCAGUUCGGAUUGUAGGCUGCAACUCGCCUACAUGAAGUCGGAGUUGCUAGUAAUCGCGAAUCAGAACGUCGCGGUGAAUGCGUUCCCGGGUCUUGUACACACCGCCCGUCACACCAUGGAAGUUGGUAAUACCCAAAGUCGCUGAGCUAACCGCAAGGGGGCAGGCGCCUAAGGUAGGAUCAAUGACUGGGGUGAAGUCGUAACAAGGUAACC